Grammomys surdaster is the source of this 102-nucleotide small nuclear RNA. The record is from RefSeq and is a predicted model, not a curated record. Lineage: Eukaryota; Metazoa; Chordata; Mammalia; Rodentia; Muridae.
GUGAUUUAGCAGCACAUAUAUUAAAUUGGAUCAAAACAGAAAAGAUUAACAAGGCCCUUGUGAAAGGAUGACACAGAAACUCAUGAAGUGUUCCAUAUUUUC